Molecule: transfer RNA, 112 nt
Rfam family: tRNA
About the family: Transfer RNA (tRNA) molecules are approximately 80 nucleotides in length.
Source: Rfam
CGUGCGAUAGCUCAGUUGGUAGAGCAUUGGAUUGUAAUUGUAAUGAAUUAUUAUAACUAUUCGUUUAGUCACUAAACUCCAAUUGUCCCGAGUUCGAUCCUUGGUUGCGCGA